ACGGGAGGCAGCAGUGGGGAAUAUUGCACAAUGGGCGCAAGCCUGAUGCAGCGACGCCGCGUGAGGGAUGACGGCCUUCGGGUUGUAAACCUCUUUCAGUAGGGAAGAAGCGAAAGUGACGGUACCUGCAGAAGAAGCGCCGGCUAACUACGUGCCAGCAGCCGCGGUAAUACGUAGGGCGCAAGCGUUAUCCGGAAUUAUUGGGCGUAAAGAGCUCGUAGGCGGUUUGUCGCGUCUGCUGUGAAAGACCGGGGCUCAACUCCGGUUCUGCAGUGGGUACGGGCAGACUAGAGUGCAGUAGGGGAGACUGGAAUUCCUGGUGUAGCGGUGAAAUGCGCAGAUAUCAGGAGGAACACCGAUGGCGAAGGCAGGUCUCUGGGCUGUAACUGACGCUGAGGAGCGAAAGCAUGGGGAGCGAACAGGAUUAGAUACCCUGGUA
This 439-nucleotide ribosomal RNA is filed under the name uncultured Actinomycetales bacterium. Its description in RNAcentral is "bacterial SSU rRNA". It matches the Rfam family "Bacterial small subunit ribosomal RNA", at positions 341 to 792 of the family's 1533-position model. Lineage: Bacteria; Bacillati; Actinomycetota; Actinomycetes; Actinomycetales. The record is from RNAcentral.